This is a long non-coding RNA of Zalophus californianus (California sea lion), 250 nucleotides long. RefSeq lists it as uncharacterized. The transcript is spliced from 3 exons. NCBI's taxonomy places the organism in Eukaryota, Metazoa, Chordata, Mammalia, Carnivora, Otariidae. The record is from RefSeq and is a predicted model, not a curated record.
CUGAGUUUGCGGCAACUAUCGGCUGAGUCCCGUUUAUCCAUCUGAACAACAAGGGUUCCAUAUGGGAGCUGGCCUUGGAGCCAACGACAUGUCUCGGUGAGGAUUUGUCGGCGUUCUUCCGUGUUGAAGAGCAUCAGGAGAAUCCGGCGGCAAUCAUCCCACGAGGCUUACCGAGUCCGGACGAGCUGCCAGGCAAGGUGGUCCACUUCUCCUUGGAGUGCGGCUGGGGCAAGACUGCCUGGGGUGAAGG